RNAcentral lists this long non-coding RNA (256 nucleotides) under Salvia miltiorrhiza (redroot sage). RNAcentral's name for it is "long non-coding RNA (SMIL_LNC013138)". Lineage: Eukaryota; Viridiplantae; Streptophyta; Magnoliopsida; Lamiales; Lamiaceae. The record is from RNAcentral.
UUUUUUCUUUUUUUUUUUACUUCCCUCCCUAUAAAUACCCCUCACUUCUCCGAUUCAUUCACACUUUCAAUCUUUCUCUCUUUCUCUACUACAUUUUCAUUCUCUUUUUCCAAAAAAUGGCCGAAUGGUUCGAUGAUACUUCAUCGUCUUCGUCCGACGGGGUAGCGCAAGAGAUCAUCGAUGAGAUCAAGUUGCAAAAACAAUUGAUUGCUCAAAUAUACUCCCAACCGGAGCUGGAACGUGUUGUUCAUCACCG